AGAGUUUGAUCCUGGCUCAGGAUGAACGCUGGCGGUAUGCUUAACACAUGCAAGUCGAACGGUGUCUUCGGACACAGUGGCGGACGGGUGAGUAACGCGUGGGAAUCUGCCCUUAGGAGGGGGAUAACGGUUGGAAACGACCGCUAAUACCCCAUAUGCCGCAAGGUGAAAGAUUUAUUGCCUGGAGAGGAGCUCGCGUCUGAUUAGCUAGUUGGUGAGGUAAAGGCUUACCAAGGCAUCGAUCAGUAGCUGGUCUGAGAGGAUGAGCAGCCACACUGGGACUGAGACACGGCCCAGACUCCUACGGGAGGCAGCAGUGGGGAAUUUUCCGCAACGGGCGAGAGCCUGACGGAGCAAUACCGCGUGAGGGAGGAAGGCCUUUGGGUUGUAAACCUCUUUUCUCAGGGAAGAAGAUCUGACGGUACCUGAGGAAUAAGCAUCGGCUAACUCCGUGCCAGCAGCCGCGGUAAUACGGAGGAUGCAAGCGUUAUCCGGAAUCAUUGGGCGUAAAGCGUCCGCAGGUGGUUUUUCAAGUCUGCUGUUAAAGACUGGAGCUCAACUCCGGAAAGGCAGUGGAAACUGAGAAACUAGAGUUCGGUAGGGGUAGCGGGAAUUCCCAGUGUAGCGGUGAAAUGCGUAGAUAUUGGGAAGAACAUCGGUGGCGAAGGCGCGCUACUGGACCGAAACUGACACUCAGGGACGAAAGCUAGGGUAGCGAAAGGGAUUAGAUACCCCUGUAGUCCUAGCUGUAAACGAUGGAAACUAGGUGUGGCUUGUAUCGACCCGAGCCGUGCCGUAGCUAACGCGUUAAGUUUCCCGCCUGGGGAGUACGCACGCAAGUGUGAAACUCAAAGGAAUUGACGGGGGCCCGCACAAGCGGUGGAGUAUGUGGUUUAAUUCGAUGCAACGCGAAGAACCUUACCAGGGCUUGACAUGUCGCGAAUCUUGGUGAAAGCUGAGAGUGCCUUCGGGAGCGCGAACACAGGUGGUGCAUGGCUGUCGUCAGCUCGUGUCGUGAGAUGUUGGGUUGAGUCCCGCAACGAGCGCAACCCUCGUCUUUAGUUGCCAUCAUUAAGUUGGGCACUUUAGAGAGACUGCCGGUGACAAACCGGAGGAAGGUGGGGAUGACGUCAAGUCAGCAUGCCCCUUACGCCCUGGGCUACACACGUACUACAAUGGUUGGGACAAAGGGCAGCAAACCCGCGAGGGUAAGCGAAUCUCAUCAAACCCAGCCUCAGUUCAGAUUGCAGGCUGCAACUCGCCUGCAUGAAGGAGGAAUCGCUAGUAAUCGCAGGUCAGCAUACUGCGGUGAAUUCGUUCCCGGGCCUUGUACACACCGCCCGUCACACCAUGGAAGCUGGUCACGCCCGAAGUAGUUACCCUAACCUUUCGGGGGGGGGACUCCUAAGGCAGGGCUAGUGGCUGGGGC
RNAcentral lists this ribosomal RNA (1429 nucleotides) under metagenome. RNAcentral describes it as "bacterial SSU rRNA". It matches the Rfam family "Bacterial small subunit ribosomal RNA". The record is from RNAcentral.